UAGGGAAUCUUCGGCAAUGGGGGGAACCCUGACCGAGCAACGCCGCGUGAGUGAAGAAGGUUUUCGGAUCGUAAAGCUCUGUUGUUAAGGAAGAACGAGUGUGAGAAUGGAAAGUUCAAACUGUGACGGUACUUAACCAGAAAGGGACGGCUAACUACGUGCCAGCAGCCGCGGUAAUACGUAGGUCCCGAGCGUUGUCCGGAUUUAUUGGGCGUAAAGCGAGCGCAGGCGGUUAGAUAAGUCUGAAGUUAAAGGCAGUGGCUCAACCAUUGUAGGCUUUGGAAACUGUUUAACUUGAGUGCAGAAGGGGAGAGUGGAAUUCCAUGUGUAGCGGUGAAAUGCGUAGAUAUAUGGAGGAACACCGGUGGCGAAAGCGGCUCUCUGGUCUGUAACUGACGCUGAGGCUCGAAAGCGUGGGGAGCGAACAGG
Molecule: ribosomal RNA, 429 nt
Filed under: Bacteroidota bacterium
Lineage: Bacteria; Pseudomonadati; Bacteroidota
Description: Bacteroidetes bacterium partial 16S ribosomal RNA
Rfam family: Bacterial small subunit ribosomal RNA
Source: RNAcentral